This 272-nucleotide long non-coding RNA is filed under the name Setaria viridis. RNAcentral's name for it is "long non-coding RNA (SVIR_LNC001205)". Lineage: Eukaryota; Viridiplantae; Streptophyta; Magnoliopsida; Poales; Poaceae. The record is from RNAcentral.
UAUAUUGAUCACAAUACGUAGAAAUAAUUUAACAUUACAUCUGAAUAUCGAGUCUCGACAAUGUUAUAGGACCUCUAAAUGGACUUGUUACAAUUGAUGAUCAGAUUACCAAGAUGGAGUCACAUGCUGCCACAAGUUAACAAAUUCUGGUAUUUGAAAUGAACUCAACAUACACAAACAACUGCAGACAACGCACCACGAUGAAGAAUCCGAAACAAGGAGGAAACAGUAGUUCCAAACAUAGGAGACUCUACUAAACCACGCCAGCAGAA